Mus musculus (house mouse) is the source of this 1131-nucleotide long non-coding RNA. RefSeq annotates it as predicted gene, 39222. The record is from RefSeq and is a predicted model, not a curated record. Lineage: Eukaryota; Metazoa; Chordata; Mammalia; Rodentia; Muridae. The transcript has 3 exons.
UGGGGAAACCUGGGGCUUGAGCUCCCUCUACAGGACGAAGGGGACGGUCGGCGCCAGACCUUCCCGGCCUCUGCAGCCCUCCUGGUCCCUUGCCUGCCUGGACACUGCCUGCCUGGCUUGCCCAACUUUGAUUCUAAGAAGUGGAGAAUCACAUUCAGAGUAGUGACGCCUUGGAUGGGGUUCGAAGUGGGGGCGCCUUUGAGGCCCUCCUGUCUGGCCCUUUGGAAUUUCCGGGAUAGCCAUGCACUGUGCAUCUGAGCUGCAGAGCAGGGCUCUCGUGAGCAAGGUCUUGCACACUGUUGGAAGGUAGAAAGAGCUAGUGCUUACAACCUGGAUCAGCUUCCAGUCUGGAUCCAGCACAGUCAACAUUGUGGAUCUGUAUGCGAGGGCCGCCGCAGUGUACGGGUCCACGAGAUGAGGACACAGCUGCCAGAGCCACGGGCGACCUGGGACUCUGUUGUAUGAAGACCGGUGCCCACAUAACGAAAGUCCUCAGAAUGGAGACCACUAGCAAAGAAAAGGACAGUGACAGCGGGGGGUUGGGGGGACGGGGACGGACUGAUAUUCAAGCAAACACUUCCUUUCUCUGUUUGCAAAGGUGUUUCAGGGGUUCAAGGUCUUUCACAGUUGAAGCAUUGACGCUCCAUCUUCUUAGGUCAUACAUGUGAAGUCAGUACCACAGAACAAGGGUCAAGGCUCUGGAAGCCAAGGGCAGAGAAUUCACUUCCUCGGGUUCUUUUUCACCAGCCGCCUGCUUCACAAGAAUUCUAGGUUGCAUGUGCCCCUGUGGAGCAAAAAUGGACAACUACAAGUCUGUAAAACUUGUGCCUGUGCUUGAAGGUAACUCUGAGUGGAGACAAGUCUCAUAUUUCUUAGGUCUCACUUUGAGCAUCCAGGAAAGGUGGAUUUGACAGACUUAGCCACACUUUCUUGCAAAUCCAUCAAUGGUUAGGAUUGGGUCUAAAAAAAAAGAAGAAUGAGCCCAAAGAUAAUUAUGGGGUAAGGGGUCCUCAUAUACCACCAGAUAUUCUUUCCUGAUCUGAAUUGGCCACUCUCAUCUGAUCCACCCAUGUAGCUUAAGCACAUUUUAAAAAUGUCUACCUGUUGUGUGAUUGUUCCCAGGAACAACCU